Rhagoletis zephyria (snowberry fruit fly) is the source of this 1647-nucleotide long non-coding RNA. RefSeq lists it as uncharacterized. The record is from RefSeq and is a predicted model, not a curated record. NCBI's taxonomy places the organism in Eukaryota, Metazoa, Arthropoda, Insecta, Diptera, Tephritidae.
CAAAGUAAAUCAGAAAAAUUUAUGUAACUUCGAAGUUAACGCUAAGAAAAUUGAUAGAAGUUGUUUUCUUAGUGUUAACGCGCAUUACCAGCGUUAACUUGGAAGGUUUAGAAAAAACCACUGUCGUAUAUUUUCUCAACAUUGACUCCUAGGAUGUCUAUAGCUGGAUAACAAACCCGUUUUCAUGUGACCCGAAAAAUAAACCUACUGGGAAGACAAAUUAAGCUUUUGAAAACCGUUUGACCAUCAGUGAACACAGCCCUUUGAAUAUAAAGUACUACGAAGGGAGCGAAGAGAGUUCUGGAUGUAAGUGUACGCAGAAAACAAUGCUGUUGGCAAGAUUGCAUUCAAAGUACUAGAUAGUGACUUUUACUUUUACACAAGGGUGCCGGGGUGAAAAAAGUUUGGGAAGACCUGGUCUAGCAGAUGAAUGUAUGUAUGCUUGUACAUUAUUGGCCGUUUAUGCUGAACUUUGAAGCUGCAUUUAGCACAUUUAGCUCUAAAUGUACAUUUACCCAUACAAAAUUCGCGACCUAAAUGCAACUAAAUGCUAUAUAUUUUUGGCUUUAAGAUUCUAAAUGCCGCGUGCAACUCUGUAAUCUUCGAAAAAACACCACGAUUCGAAGAAGCUGUGGUGAAAAAAAGUGGCAGCAUCGCUUGUUUGCGUAUACAUAUUUGUUUACAUUCUGUUUUGCGUAUACAUACAUAUAUUGUGAUAUUUGUGCCGGAGUUUGCUUCAUUUCGGUUCAUUAAAUAUACUUUGUAAUUUUAAGUAAAUAAUUAAGAAAAAUUUAUUUAAAAAAUGAAGUGAACGAGAUGUCCAUGCACCGCAGCAGCAGAGGAGGCGUUUGUGGAGUUGUAGCAGCAAAAAGUGAAUGAUUUGAGUGGGCCCAGGAAAAACGACCAUGUUUACUAAGAGAUGGCGGCUGAAAUGCACAUGCAGGGCUAUGAUGUCAACUCCUCAUUAGUUAAAACGAAGAUUGACAAUCUGACGGCGAAAUACAGACGGGCCAAGGCAGCUAUGGGAACAAAAGGCGGCUUUCCUGCAUCAUCUAAAUUAAUAAUGUAGAGGCUCUAAUUGAAGAAAGUUUUGAACUUUCAGAGUCACCAACCCAUCUCUCACCGCUACCGACAGAGAUAUCGCCGUUAUCUCCAUCACCUUUGCCGUCUACUUCGUCCUCAGCAUCCGACAAAUCUGGAAGAAAAAAACAAAUAGACCGGUUAGCGACGGUCUGCGAAAGCCUCUAGUCCACUUUUCGGAAGCUCUGGAUAAAUUUUGCACAUCGAACGAAGAAUUGAUGGAACUGGAAAAAGCAAAACUGAUGGCAGUGCAGGAGCUGCAGGAAGACGCGAAAGGACUAACGGAUGGUGUUUCAGAUUUUUUAAAUAGAUUAGGAAUAGGAUGUAAGGUUUCGUGAAUUUAAUACUUUUUUACACAUUUAAUAAAUUAUAAGGAAAUAGUAUGUAAGAUCCAAUGAAGUGAAUUGUUUUUUGUUAUAGAUUUUAGACUUACUCAUUAAGAAAAUGGAAUCAAAUAUGUGGUGAAUUUUAUUUUUUUGUUUUAUAUUUUUAAAUAGAUGUUAAGAAAGUAGUAUGUAAGAUUUUGUGAUAUGAACUUUUUUGUUUUUAAUCUAUAUAUAUAAAUUU